This 79-nucleotide transfer RNA is filed under the name Fibroporia radiculosa. It matches the Rfam family "tRNA". From Rfam's summary of the family: Transfer RNA (tRNA) molecules are approximately 80 nucleotides in length. Their secondary structure includes four short double-helical elements and three loops (D, anti-codon, and T loops). The record is from Rfam by way of RNAcentral. Lineage: Eukaryota; Fungi; Basidiomycota; Agaricomycetes; Polyporales; Fibroporiaceae.
UCGGAUAUGGUGUAGUGGCUAACAUUAUCGCCUCUCAAGUGUUUCGCGAUAGCCCGGGGUUCGAUUCCCCGUAUCCGAA